Molecule: small nuclear RNA, 105 nt
Organism: Vulpes vulpes (red fox)
Lineage: Eukaryota; Metazoa; Chordata; Mammalia; Carnivora; Canidae
Source: Ensembl
AGGCUCGCUUUGAGCACAUAUACUAAAAUUGGAAUGAUCCAGAGAAGAUUAGCACGGCCCCUGCGCUAGGAUGACAUGCAAAUCUGAGAAGUGUUCUAUAUUAAA